RNAcentral lists this ribosomal RNA (497 nucleotides) under uncultured bacterium. RNAcentral describes it as "partial 16S ribosomal RNA". It matches the Rfam family "Bacterial small subunit ribosomal RNA", at positions 28 to 507 of the family's 1533-position model. The record is from RNAcentral.
GAUGAACGCUGGCGGCGUGCCUAAUACAUGCAAGUCGAGCGAACAGACGAGGAGCUUGCUCCUCUGACGUUAGCGGCGGACGGGUGAGUAACACGUGGAUAACCUACCUAUAAGACUGGGAUAACUUCGGGAAACCGGAGCUAAUACCGGAUAACAUGUUGAACCGCAUGGUUUAACAGUGAAAGACGGUCUUGCUGUCACUUAUAGAUGGAUCCGCGCCGCAUUAGCUAGUUGGUAAGGUAACGGCUUACCAAGGCAACGAUGCGUAGCCGACCUGAGAGGGUGAUCGGCCACACUGGAACUGAGACACGGUCCAGACUCCUACGGGAGGCAGCAGUAGGGAAUCUUUCGCAAUGGGCGAAAGCCUGACGGAGCAACGCCGCGUGAGUGAAGAAGGUCUUCGGAUCGUAAAACUCUGUUAUUAGGGAAGAACAAAUGUGUAAGUAACUAUGCACGUCUUGACGGUACCUAAUCAGAAAGCCACGGCUAACUACGUG